CACUUGAAACCACUUUAUCGCCAUUUCUGUGACUCACUGUGACUUCAACAAAACUGCCGACGUAGUUUACUCCGUCUGCACCUCUGUGCAUGUGUGUGUGUGUGUGUGUGUGUGUGUGUGUGUGUGUGUGUGUAUGUGUGUGCGUGUGCGUGCGCGUGUGUGUUUUCAUCGCAGGGAAAGUCCUUCCCACAUUUCAGAUCUCCAUAUGGGAAAACAAAAUUAUUACAAGUACUACGAGAGGCAUGGAAGGUACACCUACUUCAUUUUCUUCCUCUAAUUUUUUUUUUUUAACGUGUAAUUUAAUUUAAUCACAUUUCUGCGGUUGUAUGGAGGAAGCCAGUGGCCAGCUGGAGAUGAGUUCAAGUUAUGUUUGCUGGCGUACCAUUUAGUACUCUUGAUGGAUGCAAAACAUUUUUUUUAGAUGUAAAGUUUCAUCUCCUCAAUUUCUUUCUUGUCUUGAUUUCUUUUUAUACUUAAGUACUGUGCAUAUGAUAUGCAUGUUUCAAUCAUCAAUGGGAUUUAAAAGGAGAACGCGUACUUGCUGUUUACAGAAAGUGGAGAUACAUGUACAUACGUUUUUGUAUGUUUAAAGAAAAAAAAAGAAGCUAUACCAUGACUACUCAGGUUUAGAGCUGCUUGUAAGUAUAACUAUAAUACCUAGAAAAGACUUAUUUUGUUGAUCAAUGGAUUGGGCAUCAUCGGGUGAAUGAUUCCAGUGGUGUGUGCUUCUUACCUUCCUACAGGGGGUGCUGUACUGUUCUUUUCCAUCACAGGGAAUAUCAGUUGAUGCCCUCAGUAACACAGGCAACAUCCAAAACCUACUUAUCACAUCAGAGCGAUGCAAUUUGUACCAAAAAUAUAAUUUUUUUUUGGACCUAUAAGUAAACCUUAAGCUGGAUGCCAAAGGUUGUGCCUCAAAAAGAAAUGGUAGUAGUGUGCUAUUAAAAUUUACAUAACCCUUUUUUCUUUGAAGUGCAUCAGACAUAAUUUCAUGACAUGAAGCUGUGGCCCUUAGAUGUCAGCCCAUAAAGGGGAUACAUGUAAGUAUUAUUCAAUCAGCCAUUAACAUUGUAUGAUGUAUUUAAAAAAAAUCCCAGCAACAGUUGUCACAAGAGUGACCAAUUGUCCAAAUGCAACAUGACCUGCUGGAUAUUUUGUCACUGAUGUCCUUAUCCAAUUGGUUGAAUUUACAUUUGCAGCCAUGUACCUGUCCGGACACGUCUUCACAUGAUUUUCAUACAUUAAACGCUAUAUUGUUCUCAAAUCUUGA
Long non-coding RNA from Sander lucioperca (pikeperch), 1270 nucleotides. RefSeq lists it as uncharacterized. Lineage: Eukaryota; Metazoa; Chordata; Actinopteri; Perciformes; Percidae. The transcript has 2 exons. The record is from RefSeq and is a predicted model, not a curated record.